This 301-nucleotide ribosomal RNA is filed under the name uncultured bacterium. Its description in RNAcentral is "partial 16S ribosomal RNA". It matches the Rfam family "Bacterial small subunit ribosomal RNA", at positions 509 to 807 of the family's 1533-position model. The record is from RNAcentral.
UAGCCGCCGCGGUAAUACAGAGGGUGCGAGCGUUAAUCGGAUUUACUGGGCGUAAAGCGUGCGUAGGCGGCUUUUUAAGUCGGAUGUGAAAUCCCUGAGCUUAACUUAGGAAUUGCAUUCGAUACUGGGAAGCUAGAGUAUGGGAGAGGAUGGUAGAAUUCCAGGUGUAGCGGUGAAAUGCGUAGAGAUCUGGAGGAAUACCGAUGGCGAAGGCAGCCAUCUGGCCUAAUACUGACGCUGAGGUACGAAAGCAUGGGGAGCAAACAGGAUUAGAUACCCCCGUAGUCCCUGUCUCUUAUAC